Molecule: ribosomal RNA, 447 nt
Filed under: uncultured bacterium
Lineage: Bacteria
Description: partial 16S ribosomal RNA
Rfam family: Bacterial small subunit ribosomal RNA
Source: RNAcentral
AACGAACGCUGGCGGCAGGCUUAACACAUGCAAGUCGAGCGCCCCGCAAGGGGAGCGGCAGACGGGUGAGUAACGCGUGGGAAUCUACCUUUUGCUACGGAAUAACGCAGGGAAACUUGUGCUAAUACCGUAUGUGCCCUUCGGGGGAAAGAUUUAUCGGCAAAGGAUGAGCCCGCGUUGGAUUAGCUAGUUGGUGGGGUAAAGGCCUACAAAGGCGACGAUCCAUAGCUGGUCGGAGAGGAUGAUCAGCCACAUUGGGACUGAGACACGGCCCAAACUCCUACGGGAGGCAGCAGUGGGGAAUAUUGGACAAUGGGCGCAAGCCUGAUCCAGCCAUGCCGCGUGAGUGAUGAAGGCCUUAGGGUUGUAAAGCUCUUUCACCGGUGAAGAUAAUGACGGUAACCGGAGAAGAAGCCCCGGCUAACUUCGUGCCAGCAGCCGCAGUAA